RNAcentral lists this unclassified non-coding RNA (206 nucleotides) under Hevea brasiliensis (rubber tree). The record is from RNAcentral. Lineage: Eukaryota; Viridiplantae; Streptophyta; Magnoliopsida; Malpighiales; Euphorbiaceae.
GUGAUUAGGUGUUAAGCCAGUGUGCAUGCCGUUGAUCAGAUUGAUCUGUUUCUUUCAGUCAGUAGAUUUAGGCAGUGGGACCUCUAGAUUUUUGGGAAUCUAGAAAAGGAAUCCAUUUGCAAGGAAAAAGAUAAAAAAUCUGAGGGAAGAGGAAGGCUCGGCGUAGAUGUAGGGAAGAGAGGGGACUGGACUGGAGUAGAAAGAGC